GACGAACGCUGGCGGCGUGCUUAACACAUGCAAGUCGAACGGAAAGGCCUCUGCUUGCAGGGGUGCUCGAGUGGCGAACGGGUGAGUAACACGUGGGUGAUCUGCCUUGUACUCUGGGAUAAGCUUGGGAAACUGGGUCUAAUACCGGAUAGGAACUGCCUUUAGUGUGGUGGUUGGAAAGUUUUUUCGGUGCAAGAUGAGCUCGCGGCCUAUCAGCUUGUUGGUGGGGUAAUGGCCUACCAAGGCGUCGACGGGUAGCCGGCCUGAGAGGGUGUACGGCCACAUUGGGACUGAGAUACGGCCCAGACUCCUACGGGAGGCAGCAGUGGGGAAUAUUGCACAAUGGGCGGAAGCCUGAUGCAGCGACGCCGCGUGGGGGAUGACGGCCUUCGGGUUGUAAACUCCUUUCGACAGGGACGAAGCUUUUUGUGACGGUACCUGUAUAAGAAGCACCGGCUAACUACGUGCCAGCAGCCGCGGUAAUACGUAGGGUGCGAGCGUUGUCCGGAAUUACUGGGCGUAAAGAGCUCGUAGGUGGUUUGUCGCGUCGUCUGUGAAAUUCCGGGGCUUAACUCCGGGCGUGCAGGCGAUACGGGCAUAACUUGAGUGCUGUAGGGGAGACUGGAAUUCCUGGUGUAGCGGUGAAAUGCGCAGAUAUCAGGAGGAACACCGAUGGCGAAGGCAGGUCUCUGGGCAGUUACUGACGCUGAGGAGCGAAAGCAUGGGUAGCGAACAGGAUUAGAUACCCUGGUAGUCCAUGCCGUAAACGGUGGGCGCUAGGUGUAGGGGGCUUCCACGUCUUCUGUGCCGUAGCUAACGCAUUAAGCGCCCCGCCUGGGGAGUACGGCCGCAAGGCUAAAACUCAAAGGAAUUGACGGGGGCCCGCACAAGCGGCGGAGCAUGUGGAUUAAUUCGAUGCAACGCGAAGAACCUUACCUGGGCUUGACAUACACCAGAUCGCUGCAGAGAUGUAGUUUCCCUUGUGGUUGGUGUACAGGUGGUGCAUGGUUGUCGUCAGCUCGUGUCGUGAGAUGUUGGGUUAAGUCCCGCAACGAGCGCAACCCUUGUUCACUGUUGCCAGCACGUUAUGGUGGGGACUCAGUGGAGACCGCCGGGGUCAACUCGGAGGAAGGUGGGGAUGACGUCAAGUCAUCAUGCCCCUUAUGUCCAGGGCUUCACGCAUGCUACAAUGGCUGGUACAGAGAGUGGCGAGCCUGUGAGGGUGAGCGAAUCUCGGAAAGCCGGUCUCAGUUCGGAUUGGGGUCUGCAACUCGACCUCAUGAAGUCGGAGUCGCUAGUAAUCGCAGAUCAGCAACGCUGCGGUGAAUACGUUCCCGGGGCU
RNAcentral lists this ribosomal RNA (1342 nucleotides) under uncultured bacterium. Its description in RNAcentral is "bacterial SSU rRNA". It matches the Rfam family "Bacterial small subunit ribosomal RNA", at positions 28 to 1381 of the family's 1533-position model. The record is from RNAcentral.